GGCCAGGUAAGCACCACCCCCUGCUCCCUCUCUCUCCUCUCUCCCUAUUCUCUCUCUCAGCCCGUUUUUCUUUCUCCCCCCUUUUCUCUUCUCCCCUUUCUUAACCACUAGCGAUAAAUUUUUUUCGGCGACCGUCCCAUCGUUGGCGCCGCUCCUUCUUUCUUCUUCUCUGUAGUUCCGGGUGUAGUCCCAACUCCCAACCCCUCUUUUUUGGUGCUCCUUCUUCUAUAUACCUUUCUCUGCCGCUGUUUCUUCGCGCCGCCGCUGUUCUCUGGUGACACCAGAUUGGUCUGGCGACUUCAAGUGGUUCAUCACCAGAUUCGUGUUUCUCUACCGCUGGUGACGGUGACAAUCGGUCCUCCUAUAGUUUUCUUGGUUUCGUGGUAUUUGUGUGUUUUGCAGGUAUCAAUUUUGUGACUGCUUGCUGACGGUAGGGAGGUGCAUACGUAGAAGCAGCAGAGCAGUUGCUAUAUGUCGGGUUCCACAGCAUCGGGAGUAUACCAAGUCGAAAGUCCAGGUUCUAUUCGUGGGAAUUGGUACCUCCCGCCUCCCAUUUCUCUGUCUCAUGUGUUAGUUAAUUUGUUGCCGUAGUAAUUCGUACUAGUCUAUUCAGUCUAGUAGUGGGCCUGUAGUUACUAUUUAUUCCCGUCGAGUCUCUUGUUUGUGUGUUCCCUUUGUUCUUCUGUGUUGGCAUUUUUUUCCUAGACUUCUAUAGGUAUAGCGGCUAUGGUUUGUAAUGGCAGAGUAGGGUCAUGUCCUCGGGAAGGGAGGGCGGUGGGGAGGGGCGUAGGGCAAGAGUAAGAGGGUGGGACGGGAACCAAAGGGGGUCAGGGGAACAAGGGCACUUGUAGGUUGAGAAUUGGAUUGUGGAAUAUAGGGACAUUGACAGGUAAGUCUAUAGAGCUGGAGAAGAUUCAUCAGAAGAGGAAGGUCAAUAUAGCGUGUGUGUAGGAGACUAGGGGGGUAGGAUCAAAGGAGAGGAAUGCAAACGGGUUUAAAUUGUGGUACUCUAGAGGUGUGAAGGGCAAAAACGGAGUGGGUAUUUUGGUGGAUAUGAAGCUUAGAGAGUUAGUGGUAGAGAUUAGGCGGGUGAAUGACAGAUUGAUGGCGAUUAAGUUAGUAGUUGGAGGGAGCACUCUGAAUGUCAUUAGCUCUUACGCGCCGCAGGUGGGCUUGGACGAGGAGGUUAAAAGACACUUCUGGGUGGCGCUGGAUGAGGUGUUGCGGGGUAUUCCUGAAAGUACAAGAGGGGGGGGGGAAUGGUUUAUUUUCAAACUUAAUUGCUGUUAGUUGACUAGUUAUACGAUUAGUCGACUGGAUAUAAGAACUUGAUACUAGUAAAGACAGAAUUUAAGAUGCAGAAUUUAAAUGCAUGAAUUAAAAACACCAGAGUUUUUAUACUGGUUCGGAUUCAAUGUGAAUCCUAGUCCAGUCCCCUUGGGUUGCAAAGGAGUACCUUUUCAUGAAUGAGUUUCUUCGAGAGUACAGAGAAUGGUGUGAUCUACACCGAUCGCUUAGACCUUAUUUCACUCGUUUCUUUUUUAUACAAUGCCUCACCAGUGUUGUUCUCUCUUUCUUCUCUAACUUGUAACACAACAGAUCUAGUAGAGCUACAAUGUUUGUUUAUAGUAGAAUAAAGAGAGGGUAUUUUGGUUCGAUCAAAGUAUAUCGUUCUAGAGUACAGUUACAGGUUUAAAUACUUUGAGAGAGGCUUGGUUUCUACAUAGAUUUGUCAACCCAAGAAAUUUGAUCCUUGGAGAGAAAUUGAUUCUUUCCAAGAAGAAGGUCAUACAACAACGAUUAUGAUUACGAGAUCCUUAAUUGAUGUUCCAUAUAUGCUUCCCAAGAUCUUGCACCUUCCGGAUUGGGUACGCUUGACUUGAUUGAUUCCUUAAGAUUACGCUUGAUUGAUUCCGUCUUAAUCCAGGAUUGCUUCUCUUGAUUCCUUCCAUCUCGUAGUUGUCCAUUGAUUUCGUGAUUUUUGCUAAUCUCGGAUUGCUUUCCUUAAGUUCCCCGAUUAAUUGCUUCCAUCUCGUAGUUGCUCCUUGAUUCCUUGAUCUUCUCUAAUUGAUUCCUUCAAUUGCUAUCCAUGAGUUCCUGCACAGAUAUAUUAUUUGCAUCAUUAAAAUCAAAUAUAGCAAUCUCCCCCUUUUUGAUGAUGACAAAAUAAUAUAUAUGUAUAAACAACAGUUGACUUCCCUAUGUUUACUUCCCCUCAAUGUAUGCAGUUGACUGGUCCAUGGUUAUAGAUGUUGCAGUCGACUCCUGCUGCAGAGGAUGCUAACGUAUACUUACCCUUUAGUCGACUAACUUUCUAUACCUGUGUAGAUAUACUUGUGUAGAUACAUACAUAUAUCCUUCUCCCCCUUUUUGGCAUCAACAAAGAGGGAACUAAAACAUGAACUAGAAUAAGUUAUAUAGCAUUGUGCAGCAGAGUUAUAGUCCUAAAAACAACCAGAACAAAACAAGAAAUAGAAAUUGUCCAACGGCUGAUUUAACAGUCCAAAAAUAACACAUCAAAAAAAUUGUCUUAAGCAACCACAUUAACGAUGCAGAAAGUAGGUAAGAGUAUUGCAGAUGGACUCCUUCAGUUGUUCAAAGCUGGCAUGGCUGAGAUGCUCGUUCCAUAAAACCUGUCAUGAAUCUCCUUGAAAGACUUGACAGCGUUCUCCCUUACUCUGAGAACGACAACUCUUAUCUUGGACACAUCAGACCCUUUUUCUUUGGAGAUGGCAUGAAUGUCACCAACAAUUGACUGAGUGGUUGUGAGGAGAUCUUUAAUUUCAGAGACUUGAAUGUCAAUGACCCAAAACUUCUCACCAAGAUCAGGAUCACCAGGAUUAGGAUGAGCGACAGAAGGUUUGGGUUUGGGAUCUAUUGGAGCAUGCUUUACAUCACCUUCGUUCUUCUUAACCCAUGAUCCUUUCACACUCACAUAUCCCAUACUAACAAAGGCUCUAGAAUUGUAAGAUUUUGAAACACUGAUAAAGGGAUAAGCAAACAGGGAAAUUUGAUGAGCUUUCAGUAUGUGAGUGAUGGCCAUAUUGUUUACCAUGAAAAUGAUAAUAACAAUUAAAUUUGUUGAUGGGACUCUAAAAAUACGUGACCUAUUUUUAUGCUAGUUGUUAAGCAGUUGAUGCUAGGUAUGUCAAGUUUAAAAGACGAAACGCAAACUAAAGUAGAGUUAUAACCAAACCGGGGAGUUGGCUAUUCAGGCCUCGGACUGACUGAUGAGGGGCCUCGAGGUCGAUGUCUGGGCUCGGGCUCGAGAUAUUGGGGAUAAUUGGGAAAUGGCUAACAGUUAGGAUAUGAUUAAGGGAGGCUCUUUAUGGCCAACGACAAGCAAUAAAUGAAGAACCAGUAUGAAGUCAACAAAUAAGCGCAAUAAUAUCGAAGAAAUAUGUUAAGAGAGAAAAGAGAGAGAGAGAGAGAGAGUUGUUAUUUAUCUUAUGUAUAAUAGUUGGAGCAACAACAACCCUUUACAAAAUGGCAAUGAUCUCCUUUAUAUAGGAGGGGAAUCCCAACAUAGUACAAAAUGCAUUAAUUAUAAAGGUAUGGAGAUGGGACGGCUAGACGUGACACCACGCUCUGCCAGUGCUAUCUGCUCGCCUUAGGAACUCCCCAUCGCCGACAUCGCCGUUGGGUCAGGCGUAAAUGGACAUCGAAGGAGAGAACUCGACCACAACCUCGCAGCCUCGAGAUGACUUCCCGAAACACCUUAAUGACAAGGAAUUGGACCCUCCGAUUUCACCGUAUACAGAUAGUCUCCGCAUUUACUGGAACGAAGUAAUAGGAAACAAUUUUGAGUCGUCGUUCCGAGGGCAUCAUUGCCAUGACGUCAACCUAUAAGAGCAUUAAAUGCCAUUCCCCAGAAAACCGUGCAAGGGUCGCCAUCAAAUGCGAUUAUUGAGGAACCCACGAAAUGAUAUUGGCUCAUCAUUUCCGCUUCCCAAGCGAUUUCUAUAAAUAUAUCGACUAUUUGACAAUCCUUAUCUUCGUUGCGUCUUCAAAUUCACGAGUCCAUACCCAUCUUCUUGUACACUCUUCUAUCUCGCUUUCUGAGAGGAAACUUUACCAUUGCUAUGGCAGGACUUCUAGAACGAUUCUCGGCGGAAUGAAGCUGUAUCUUCAUCUCAUUCGUCUAAGGAGAAAGCCAAUGCGAUAACCACCUUGGAACCGUGCACUCCUUCCAAGCUUGAUAUGUCAAAAGAUUUUACCGUUGAUAUCACUUUAUCCAUGUCGGGCCGAUGUGAACAUGUGUCCCGAUACAUUAGUGUCGUGACCAACAUAAAAGUGGUAAGGAUAGACUGCUAAUGGAGCGAGACAGUUGAGGUGGAAAUUCCCGGCCCUGAUGAAAAUAUAACGGACUAUAAGGUCGGCUUCCUUCAUGCGUAUACCUAACCGUUCACCUUGGGUCCUGCUGAUUCCUCUGAAUCCUCCCCCCCGGAAAUAGAUCCGGUUAUCCUUGAUUUUUGUGACAAAUAUCAAGUGACGCUCAGUCAGAUCUAUCCUUCUGUUUGGAGGAUAGUAUUGAUGGUCCAUCAUUUUACUGAAAGGGUUAUGGGCGAGACUUUUACCCUCAACCAUUUGAUUAGGUUGUACAUCCCUCAAUUUUAUCGAGGUUUGAUCAGGCUCCAUAAUCGAUCCAGAAAAUCAUUUUUCUUGAGCACAGACGAGGGGAAGGAUCGGGGGUGGAUAAGUAGGUUCAUUCGAAUAAGGGCCUCGGACAUCAUUCCAUCCCUGAGGAUGCCUUUCCCAGAGAAAUGGAACACACAGCGUAAGCGGUUUUCCCUUAACCAUUUUUUAUAAAUUUCUUCCCUUUCCCCCGAAAUAAUGACUUCUUUGCCGUUUCACGCAACCAUCGUUUGGUACCCCAAGGCGAUUUCUGAUUUACUGGGGUGGAUCAAAUGAUUAGACACUGCGUUCCCGUACCAUGUCCGGUCUUGGACCGACCUGGACAAGGAGAGAUGGGUGUCCAAGAAUCAUGGUAAAGCUUCUGUGCCAUCUAUAUCUUAGAUUUGCAUUUCUCCCCGCGUCCCUUGCACUGAAAAAUUGUGAUUAUCGCGCUUGUGCAGGCCUCAGUGAGAAUAUGGAGAUGAGGCCACCCCCUGGUAGUGAAACGAAGGCUUUGGAGCCCGGCAAAGGGCAAGAAGAGGGAAGGUAAGGCGGCUGCUGAUCCUCCUAUGGCAAAGAAACCCAGAUCACUCGAGCAUCAAAUCGCUACUAGGACCUCUGCUUCAACUUUAGGGGAAAAUCCCGGCAUUGAGGAUGAGGAUGACAAUGAAUGCCAGUUAGCAUGGAGGACAAGGUCGAGUGCGGGAGCCUCGUAGGUGCCUCGAACGGAGGCUAAUGAGUUUGGAACGACUGACUUAGGUCGGUCCCAUAGACCGAAGACCCUUGAGGAGGGUGUUAACGUGACCUAGGAUCGCAUGAUCGGGUUUGGCGUAGUUUCCGUUAGAGGGACCGUUGCUAUCGAUCCUGAAGAAUCGGGGCCCAGAGCUUUUCAGGAGCAGGGGUUGCCUCUUGGGGAAAUAGGUGACAUGAUUUUCAUCUCAUGCUUUCAGGUCUCGUCAGGGGAACUGAGGGACUCUCCAAAAGCGAACGCCGUCAAAGUGGGGAUUCCUCUCAAAGUGGGAGGCUCACUUGCCAACAUCUUUGAUGGUAUUAGCGAUAGCGUAGGUCUUGACGUUCCUGCCGCCGUCAAAGAGGCGGAGAGAUUCAUGUCGUAGGUGAUAUCUAUCUUUCGUAUAUUUCUUUUAGUCUUGGGCAUCAUUCUUCAUUUUUCUAACUCUUCCGCUAUGUCACAGUGCAAGGAUAUGUAUGAUCAUGCCUUCUUUCGGCUCCGCGAGGAGCUUUCUUAUCGUGAAAAGGAGUGUAAGAAGCUUACCUCGAACCUGCAGGAUUCAGAGGCUCACUCUGCCCG
RNAcentral lists this long non-coding RNA (5923 nucleotides) under Nicotiana tabacum (common tobacco). Its description in RNAcentral is "long non-coding RNA (NTAB_LNC015220)". Lineage: Eukaryota; Viridiplantae; Streptophyta; Magnoliopsida; Solanales; Solanaceae. The record is from RNAcentral.